Molecule: ribosomal RNA, 252 nt
Filed under: uncultured bacterium
Lineage: Bacteria
Description: partial 16S ribosomal RNA
Rfam family: Bacterial small subunit ribosomal RNA
Source: RNAcentral
CCAAAAGCUGGCGACCGGCGCACGGGUGAGUAACACGUAUCCAACCUGCCUCAUACUCGGGGAUAGCCUUUCGAAAGAAAGAUUAAUAUCCGAUAGCAUAUAUUUCCCGCAUGGGUUUUAUAUUAAAGAAAUUCGGUAUGAGAUGGGGAUGCGUUCCAUUAGUUUGUUGGGGGGGCAACGGCCCACCAAGACUACGAUGGAUAGGGGUUCUGAGAGGAAGGUCCCCCACAUUGGAACUGAGACACGGUCCAA